RNAcentral lists this ribosomal RNA (323 nucleotides) under uncultured eukaryote. RNAcentral's name for it is "partial 18S ribosomal RNA". It matches the Rfam family "Eukaryotic small subunit ribosomal RNA", at positions 1470 to 1795 of the family's 1831-position model. The record is from RNAcentral.
CCCUUAGAUGUUCUGGGCUGCACGCGCGCUACACUGAAGCUAUCAACACGUUUUCCCUCCCUGAGAAGGGCGGGUAACCUUUUGAAUCAGCUUCGUGGUAGGGAUCGGGGCUUGCAAUUGUUCCCCGUGAACCAGGAAUUCCUAGUAGACGCGAGUCAUAAGCUCGCAUCGAUUAAGUCCCUGCCCUUUGUACACACCGCCCGUCGCUACUACCGAUUGAACGUUUUAGUGAGGCAUUUGGACCGACGCAUCCCAGUUUAACCGCUGGUUUGUGUUGGAAAGACUUCCAAACUUGAGCGUUUAGAGGAAGUAAAAGUCGUAAC